ACACCUGCCGGAAGAGAGUGUCUCUCUUCCACAGCAUCGUGGCCAUCGGUCGCUCCUUCGAGGUCUUCUUCACCAGCACUACCCUCAGAAACUUCGCCUCAUGAUGCUUAACGCUGAUCCAUCUGAGAGCAUCAUGGUGUCAGUCUUCUACUCCAGCCGCAGCGUUUGGAUGUGUACGUUGACACCAAGCUGGUUGUCCCAACUAACUUCAAUGGAACCCGACAACCCGGACUACACCCUAAGAAGCCCAUUUAUGCAGAUCAAUACGUCCCCCAAUUGAACGCCACUGUGGGAACCAACUACUUCGACCGGGACUACAAGAUGAUAAAGGUCGUACUAAGAGGCACUAAGCCGGUGGAGAUCCGAACUUCCCCGCUUCUCUUCAUCUCCUUUGAGCUGCCCGCCAUGACUGAGGAUCAGUUCUUUGGCAAAACUGAUCCAGAACCUUGCUGCUU
Long non-coding RNA from Etheostoma spectabile (orangethroat darter), 455 nucleotides. RefSeq lists it as uncharacterized. The record is from RefSeq and is a predicted model, not a curated record. Lineage: Eukaryota; Metazoa; Chordata; Actinopteri; Perciformes; Percidae. The transcript is spliced from 3 exons.